GACAAGAACCAGAAAAAGGCUGGAGCACAAUCCACAAACUGUGGAAGGUGUGCACCGUCUGCAAAACAGUGAAGGAAACAACAGACGUAUGAACCAGAGCAAAGACUGAGCUCACCCACACUGAAGCAGGGACUGCUCAUUUAAUGUCAGCUCCAGCUGAAGGUCCAGGCUGGAAUGGAGUAGAAAGUGGAGUCCUGUUGAUGAAGGAACU
This is a long non-coding RNA of Sphaeramia orbicularis (orbiculate cardinalfish), 211 nucleotides long. RefSeq lists it as uncharacterized. Lineage: Eukaryota; Metazoa; Chordata; Actinopteri; Kurtiformes; Apogonidae. The transcript has 3 exons. The record is from RefSeq and is a predicted model, not a curated record.